GACGAACGCUGGCGGCGUGCUUAACACAUGCAAGUCGAACGGUGAAGCGCUUUCCUUUUUGGUUGGUGUGGAUGAGUGGCGAACGGGUGAGUAACACGUGAGUAACCUGCCCCCUUCUUCUGGAUAACCGCAUGAAAGUGUGGCUAAUACGGGAUAUUCUGCGCCUGCUGCAUGGUGGGUGGGGGAAAGAUUGUGCCUUUGGGUGUUUUCGGUGGGGGAUGGGCUCGCGGCCUAUCAGCUUGUUGGUGGGGUGAUGGCCUACCAAGGCGGUGACGGGUAGCCGGCCUGAGAGGGUGGACGGUCACACUGGGACUGAGACACAGCCCAGACUCCUACGGGAGGCAGCAGUGGGGAAUAUUGCACAAUGGGCGCAAGCCUGAUGCAGCGACGCCGCGUGAGGGAUGGAGGCCUUCGGGUUGUGAACCUCUUUCGCCAGUGAAGCAGGCCUGCUCCUUGUGGGUGGGUUGACGGUAGCUGGAUAAGAAGCGCCGGCUAACUACGUG
RNAcentral lists this ribosomal RNA (503 nucleotides) under uncultured bacterium. RNAcentral describes it as "partial 16S ribosomal RNA". It matches the Rfam family "Bacterial small subunit ribosomal RNA", at positions 28 to 507 of the family's 1533-position model. The record is from RNAcentral.